AUUAUUAGUAGGCUAUAUGAAACAGCUUGUUUCAGAUUUUACAUAGAAGAAAAUCCCAUAUCUAGAACGAGAGUGUCAGACACUAGAUCACUAAAAAUAUUAAAUUUAUAUUAAACACGACAAACGUGGAUUGAGUUGAGAUAUAGGAUGGCAUUAUUGAACCUCUUUGGAAAUCUUAUUGAUAUUACUUCAUGAAAGAUAUUAUGUACAUAUUAUUUGUGUAUUUUGUUGUGCCUUGUAUUUUCUAACACUUGUUCCAGGGGUGUUGAUACAAUGCUAAGUGUGUAUCAAGAGAUUCCAACCAACACAAGAACAACAAGAUGAACAACAAAGUGCUAGUGAAUCAAAAUGGCCACACACGGCUUCACUAAGCGUGCAACACUUGUUUGAACUAGAAAAGUGAGUUUAACAACAAGAACAAAAAAGACAAUAUUGCUAGUGAAUUGAAAGAGCCCCACACGGCUUCACUAGACUUUUAUAUUCAACAACACAAUGUUAACAAGAUUUACAAAGAAAGAGAUAGAAACUUGACACACAAUAUUCAUUAAUCUAAGAACCCUAACAAGAGAAAGGACCCUAAGACUAAUAAAUAUCAAUACCAAGUUCUUACUUGGACCACGAGGAACUCAAAGAACCUCAAGAACCUAGUUUCUAGCCAAGAUACAACACUAGUAUCACUCUACUAGUGAGAAUUUGGUUUUGGCCUCUCCAAAUGAUGGGAAAGAGAAGUCAAAAAUUUGCAAGUCUUUGUUUCUUGAAUACUAGGAAUGAAUAAAGCAAUACUAGCCCUAUUACAUGGCUUAUAUAGUCACUUAGAAAAGAGAGACAAUGGCUUAUAUAGUCACUUAGAAAGGAGGGACAAAGACCAAAUUACCCUUGGCAUUUAAGUGGAUGGGUUUGGGGUGUCUUGGUGGGCCUCUUUACAUUUUAUUAAAUAUAGGCCCUUAGAUGGGCUCACAAGGGUCUCACACAUGGCCAAGAAUGUGAACAAGGCUUGGAGUCGUUGCAACUCACGUUCUUGGCUUUGUGUGAAAGGUAUAGAGCUAGGAAUUCCCGUAUCAUCCUCUCCAUCUUGAAGGAAAUUUGUCCUCAAAUUCGGAUCAUUGCCAUCCUCCACCCUUUCCACCCGAGAGAGAUCACACACGUUGAAAGUGUUGUGCACUUGAUAUUCUGGGUGUAGAUCAAUCUUGUAGGCAUUGUUGUUGAUCCUUUCUAAUACUUGGAAUGGGCCAUCACCCCGUGGUAUCAACUUAGCAUUCCUUUCAGACGAGAAUCUAUCCUUCCUUAGGUUCACCCACACCCAAUCUCCCGAUUCAAGAAUGAGCUUUCUUCUUUCUUUGUUGGCUCGCCUCGCAACUUCUUGGUUUUUCUUCUCCAACUACAACCUCACCUUCUCAUGUAGCUUUUUCAUGGCCUCGGCCCCUUUGCUUCCAUCUAAUCUUAUCACAAGAUCACUUGGCAAAGGGGUUAAAUCCAAAGGGGUGAGGGGGUUGAUGCCGUAUAGACACUCAAAGGGUGUCAUCCCCGUGCUUAAGUGUAUAACACAAUUAUAAGCAAACUCAAUCAAAGGUAAGAGCUCCUCCCAAGAAGUCAUUUUUCCUUUAACCAUGGACCGUAGCAUAGACUCUAAGGUCCUAUUUACUACUUCGGUUUGGCCAUUGGUUUGUGGGUGGCAUGAAGUCGAAAACAAUAACUUAGUAUAGAGUCUACCCCACAUAGACUUCCAAAAGUGGCUUAGGAAUUUAGAAUCCCUAUCACUCACUAUGGUCCUCGGAGCACCAUGAAGUUUUACAACAUUAUCAACAAAAAAAGAGGCUACGCUAGGCGCAUCAUCACAUUUAGAACAAGGAAUAAAGUGAGCCAUCUUGGAAAACCGAUCCACCAUGACAAAAUACUAUCCUGCCCCUUUCUAGUCCUCGAAAAUCCCAACACGAAGUCCAUUCAUAUGUCAAGCCAAGGACGCAAAAGGGUGGACAAUGGGGUGUACAACCCGUGGGGUUGGAGUCGUGACUUGGCUCCUUUGCACUCAAUACAUUGGCCGCAAAUCUGGGCCACAUCCUUGUGCAUUCUAGGCCAAUAAAAUUGUUCUUCCAAAAUUUCGAGGGUCUUCUCGACCCCAAAAUGGCCCAUUAGACCACCAUUGUGUGCUUCACUCACAAAUAAUUCUCUCCACGAACUUGAGGGAACACACAAUCGUCUACCUUUAAAAAAGUAUCCACCAAAUUUGGUAUAGGGAUGGGAACCCCUAUCUGUAACCCACCUAUCCCUUUCCAACUCUUUACUUUCCCUAUUGAUAGGAGCGAAGUGAGGGUCCUCGGGAUAUAAAGACUUGAGGCUUUCAAACCCCAUCAACUUAGACGACAAAGUAGACACAAGCACAUGUUUUUGGGACAAAGCAUCGGCAACCACAUUGUCUUUACCCUUCUUGUAUUAAAUAACACAAGGAAAAGUUUCAAGAAAUUCAAUCCAUUUGGCAUGCCGCUGGUUAAGCUUGUCUUGUGCCCGUAGAUGCUUCAAGGAUUCAUAAUCCAUUCGGAUCACGAAUUCUUUAGGCCACAAAUAAUGUUUCCAAGUAGCCAAGGCUCUAAUUAAGGCAUACAACUCUAAAUCAUACGUAAAGUAGUUUAGAGUUUCUCCUUUGAGCUUUUCGCUAAAGUAGGCAAUAGGAUUCAAUUCUUGCAUUAAAACCGUCGAAGGCCUUAGCUUGUUCAUCUCCCCACUUGAAAGGCCGAUCCUUUUUAAUCACUUUGGUCAAGGGGGCAGCAAUGGUGCUAAAUCUUUUGACAAAACGUCUAUAAAAACUAGCCAACCCAUGGAAGAUUCUCACUUCACCUACGGUUUUAGGAGUUGGUCAAUUUUUAAUGGAGUCAAUCUUAGAUUCAUCCACUUCUACCCCUCUAGAGAUCACCACAAACCCAAGAAAUACAACCUGAUGGACACCAAAAGAACACUUUUCUAUAUUAGCAUAUAACUUCUCCUUUCGGAGGACAUCAAACACCCAUUGUAAAUGCUUUACAUGCUCAUCUAAGGACUUUCUAUACACCAAUACAUCAUCAAAAUAAACAACAACAAACAUUCCAAUAAAUGGCUUCAUCACAUGAUUCAUUAGCCUCAUGAAAGUACUUGGAGCGUUUGUUUGGCCGAAUGGCAUAACCAUCCAUUCAUAGAGACCGAAUUUGAUCUUGAAGGAAGUUUUCCAUUCAUCACCCGGUUGCAUACGAAUUUGGUGAUAGCCACUCCUCAAAUCAAUUUUAGAAAACAAACACGAACCACUCAAUUCAUCAAGCAUAUCAUCUACCCUAGGAAUAGAGUGACGAUAUUUUACCGUUAUCUUGUUGAUGGCUCUACAAUCAACGCACAUACGCCAAGUCCAAUCUUUCUUGGGAACUAGUAGCACCAAAACCGCACAAGGGUUCAUACUCUUUUUGAUAUAUCCUUUGUUGAGGAGUUCCUUAACAUGGCAUUGCAAUUCCUUGGUAUCUAUCGGGUUGCUCCUAUAAGCCGGUUUAUUGGGCAAUUGUGAACCCGGCACAACAUCUAUUUGGUGCUCAAUUCCCCAAAGUGGGGGCAAUCCUUGCGGUAAUUACUUUGAGAAGACAUCCUCGUAAUCCUGCAAAACAUGAGAAAUAGGAGGAGAAUUGGAAAUGUUAGUGGCGUUAGUGUUAAAACAAUAAGCCAAGAGGAGCAUCGGAAUGUCCUCGUCAUGAUCCACAAAUAAUUUUUUCUUCCUAGCCAUCAUCACCACACUUCCUUGACCCUUAGAAAUUAGGAGCCCCUCGGUUUCCCCUACUCCCUCGCUCUCAGGUUCCCUUUUUUUUCCCUCACUCUCAGCCUUCUUUCCCUUUUCCCUUCCUAACAACAAGUGACAAGCUUGCAUUGGUAUCACAUCACAAAGCACCUCGUCAUGGUAGUUGGCUACCUUAAAACGUAUCACACAUUGCCUUGUGACCUUUAACUGGCCGCAUUCAUUCAACCAUUGCAACUUGUAAGGACUAGUAUGAGGUGUAGUUGACAAUUUCAAGAAGUUCACCAUUGCAACACAAACCACAUUUGCACAACUUCCACUAUCUAUCACCAUAGUACACACACUUCCCUUCACAAGACAUUUAGUAUGGAAUAAAUUCUCUUGUUGGCUAGGGUCAUCUUUCACUUUACUAAUCAUGGCACGCCUCACUACAAAGUUUGGAACCACGUACUCCCCUUCUUGUGGAUAAGAAUCCUCACAAUCAUCAUCAUCAUGUGGCUCAUUUUCGGGUUUCUCUCCAUCUUGAGGCUCGGCCUCAUUCUCUUCUUUUUUAAGACCCACUUCCUCACCAAGGUAAUACAAUCUCCCUUCCCUUAGGAUCACAUUGUGCUAGUUUGGACAUUCGUUGGCUUUAUGUCCCCAACCUUGGCACUUGAAACAUUGGAACCCUUUAGGAUUAGGAUACUUGUGAGCUCCUUGAUGGGGAGGAAAUUUAUGGACUGUUUUAGGCUCGGACAACCUUGUAGUGGGGGGUUGGUCCUUGUUUUUGGGCCAACCCGAAGAUGGUUGAACCAUAUCUUUGCUCCUCGGCCAACCCGAGGUUGAUGGUCCCUUUGCCUUGAACGACAAACUCUCUUUAAGCUCCCUUUCAAUCUCAAGAGACGCUUGGAAAAUCCCUUCAACGGUAUCAAACUUGUGAAGCGUUAAAUGAGUGGAGAUCUCUUUGGUCAACCCACACUUGAACCUAAUGAUGUCAUGGACAAUUUGUUCUCCCUGAUGAUCAAGUUUCAACAUGAGUUGUUGAAACUCGUCUUAGUAUGCCAUAACACUUCGAUUCCAUUGUCGUAAAUUGUACAACCUAGCAAUCAACUCAUGACGAUAACUUUCGGGAAGAUACCAUUGCCAUAUUAGGUACCUCAACCGAAACCAUGGUGGUGGUUGUCCCUCUACCAACUCAUUGCUGAACCGCUUGACGUAUUCCCACCAAGUGUUAGCAUAGCUUUUAAAAUGAGCUAUGGCAUAACAACUCUUCUUCUCCUCCGAGAUAUCAUUCACUUGAAACACUUUAACACACUCCGACUCACAAGCAAGAUACACCUCGGGGUCACUUUCACCCUUAAAUAUAGGUAGGCUCAAUUUGAUGGUAUUGAUGCCUACGUCUCUCUCUAGGUGUUGGUUUCCCCUUUCUCCAUACCCUCGGUAUCUCCUUGGAUCCACACGACCUUCUCUCAUCUCUUCCUCCUUCAUGGAGGCAUUGUAAAAGGCUCCAUACCCUUCAUAAUCCUCUCUACCAUAUUUCUCAAGGUGGACGGGAUGAUUUUGGACAUUUGGAACUUGAUUCGGAGGAAUUGGAAUUUGUAGAGGUGGUGGUCUUUGGUUUAGUAGAUCUUGAAAGGGGGGCUCAGAUUUUGUGGAGGCGUUUGACGUCCGAGUACCUCUUGUGGAACUUGAGGCAUUUGGGAAUGGGUUGGUCUAUUGGAGUCUCGGUUUAGAGGGUUAUAAGUGGUUUGGCUUGUAGCAUUUAGUGGAGCUAGAGAAGGAUUUGGCAAAUGUAGCCAUGUUUUGGGAGUAACAGUGGCGGAGGAAUUUCUAUCAUGUCCACUUGAUGAAACAUGUCGAGGAGUAGAAGGACGGGAGUUACUUUAACUCUCCACUUGUUCUAACCUCCUACUAAUAGUUGUCACUUCACCCCUUAUGGCUCCCAUUUCCGUACUCAACCUUUCAAGAGCUCGGGUCAUAGCCUCAAGAGUGACCCUCAUAUUCUCCAUUUCAUUAGAAUCCACAAUUUGAGACGUGGUUCCCUCCAUUAUCAAGGUAUCACCUACAAAAGCAACAAACAAGUUAGUUUAAAAUCCUGCUCCUCACUCACACUCUCUUGGUUCACUCACACUCAAGUUCCACAAGAGUUGUAGAUUGGCUAGGAACCCGUGAAUCUGUAAGGUAUAAGUAUGCUCUUGCCCAGAAUGGAUUCCUAUUUGAAACUCAAAGAGUUAUCGUUGGACUAUAGCCAAGAGUUACAAAGUAUUCAAAUGACAAAAGCACACAAACAAACGUUGACACGAACACAAGGCUUCAAGUGACUAAUUGACAAGCUAGUAGGAAUGUACUAGUUUGUUAAUUAGUUCUCAAGUCAAUUAGAGAAAACUAGGAAUCAAUAAUUAGAAACUAGAACAUCCAAAUUUGAGCUUAAUUAUCACAUGAAUAGUAACUAAGCUGAUGUGGCAGCAUGUCAAUGGUCGCGGGUCAACAUAAAUAGUUCAUCAAAUUGAAGUCUUAGUCCCCUUAGAUCUUUUGUAAUGGAUGACUUGUUAUUGGGAUAGAAAACAUAAAGUGUUGUAAAAUUUUUCGAACCCCCCUUUUUUUUCUUUUUUUUUUCUUUUUCAAACUCAAAAGGUGAUGUUUGACCUCACUAGUCCCACAAGACAAGGUUCCUUGUUUUAAGGAAAGGUGGUUGUCAAGUCUUGAAAAGGUGAUGUUGGCAAGUCUUCUCACAAACAAUUUUCAAUUUUGUCUUACAACCUUUUUGGAUCUAUUUAUCUUUAUAGAAGUUAAGACAUAAGAUGAGGAGAAGUUUAGGAUGAACACACAUCAACACCUUCAUGAACACAACAACAAUACACCACAAUGGUCACUUCCAAGUUUUUUUUUUUGUCACAACACAAGUCUCUUUUUCAUUAAGCUCAACUUUAGAUCUAGACACCCUUUGUGUUGAUGAGAAAGAAACCAACACAAGAAACAACUAAAAAAGUAAAACUUUUGUAGAUCUACAACCAAUUUUUUUUUACCAAAAUGUUCAAGAACACAGUUUUUGGUAAGAGCUUUUCAAGAUUGUUUUUGUAAGAACAAAACCUAGCCUUGAGCUUUGAUACCAAAUGAUACAAUGCUAAGUGUGUAUCAAGAGAUUCCAACCAACACAAGAACAACAAGAUGAACAACAAAGUGCUAGUGAAUCGAAAAUGGCCACACACGGCUUCACUAGGCUUGCAACACUUGUUUUAACUCGAAAAGAGAGUAUAAACACACACACACGGCUUCACUAGGCUUGCAACACUUGUUUGAACUAGAAAAGUGAGUUUAACAACAAUAACAACAAAGACAAUAUUGCUAGUGAAUCGAAAGAGCCCCACACGACUUCACUAGACUUUUAUAUCAACAACACCAUGUUAGCAAGAUUUACAAAGAAAGAGAUAGAAACUUGACACAUAAUAUUCAUUAAUCUAAGAACCCUAACAAGAGAAAGGACCCUAAGACUAAUAAAUAUCAAUACCAAGUUCUUACUUGGACCAAGAGGAACUCAAAGAACAUCAAGAACCUAGUUUCUAGCCAAGAUACAACACUAGUAUCACUCUACUAGUGAGAAUUUGGUUUUGGCCUCUCCAAACGAUGAGAAAGAGAAGUCAAAAAUUUAUAAGUCUUUGUUUCUUGAACAAUAGGAAUGAACUAAAGCAAGACUAGCCCUAUUACAUGGCUUAUAUAGUCACUUAGAAAGGAGGGACAAAGACCAAAUUACCCUUGGCAUUUAAGUGGGUGGGUUUGGGGUGUCUUGGUGGGCCUCUUUAUAUUUUAUUAAAUAUAGGCCCUUAGAUGGGCUCACAAGGGCCUCACACAUGGCCAAGAAUGUGAAAAAGGCUUGGAGUCAUUGCAACUCACGUGCUUAGCUUCGUGUGAAAGGUCUCGAGCUAGGAAUUCCCGUAUCAGGUGUUAAAGUUGUGGGUCGAGGAUAUUACUG
RNAcentral lists this long non-coding RNA (7694 nucleotides) under Capsicum annuum. Its description in RNAcentral is "long non-coding RNA (CANN_LNC009064)". Lineage: Eukaryota; Viridiplantae; Streptophyta; Magnoliopsida; Solanales; Solanaceae. The record is from RNAcentral.